GAAAGUCAGAAAGAUGUGUAUGCUUAUCCAUAAGUCUAGACUGACAUAGGAGACGACUUCACUGAAGCGAUUGACGAUGCUUAUCGAUUGUGACUACCGGUUCACGAAGCAACAUAUCGUAUGUACAUAACCUGCUUGUUCUUCUUACAUAAAGCAUGAUAUAUAUAAACUGGAGCUCCAUCGUAAAACUACCCAUGUUUCGCAUAUCAGAAUAUCAAGUGUCAAAUCUCACCUGUCAAUAUUUGCAAAUUUUAUAGGCAUGUACACACUACAAAUACACAGAUUGUAGAUGGAUACGUGUGUUUAUCUUCCCCUCGUCUCAUUGACUGGAUUGCAUAUGAUAUAUGCCAUAUAAAGUCGUCGUCGUAUACAACAUGCACACACAAACAAGGACACUUUCCAUGCAAAUCCUUUGCCAAUUGCCAAUUACAUACAUAUCUAACACGGUUCUGAAGUGUCGCAUCCAAUCCGUCGUUCGUUGCUGUGUAUUUGACUUGCUUCAAAUAAACUGUAACAACGAAAUGAAACAUCACCCACAAGUCAAGUGUUGAAGGAGGAAAUGAUAUCGGUUGAACUACAAACACAACAAGUAAUCAAUAUUGGCUGCAAAUAAAGGAAGGAUUUUACGCUCACUGGUUCAAGAAGACAGAGAGGUUUCGCAUCGUCGAGUCCUCAGAAGAGUACUACGUACAUAUUUUAGAUCUGAUAUGAUGACGAAUCUGCACCAUUAUUUCUGAACUCAUCGCCUCUUCUGACGUUAAGGAUUUUCUUCAGAAGGAGAGCACGAUAACAAAGGGCUACAGGGAAACAAAGUAAUUUGGAACAUUUCAGGAUUCCAGUCAUAUCACUCGAUAAUUGGGGGAGAUGGAGCUUGAACGAAGCGAAAGGUUGUUACAGCACUUGCCCCAGAUUCGAGAGAUGGUCGACUAUUUGGAAGUGAGUGGAACUUUGUUGACUUCCGGAAUCAUUAGUUCAACUGACCACCGCACUUUCUUGGGGGUGGUCAGUUCGGCCGGAAAUUCGAGUGGAAUUCAGGAACUCGUGCAAGUUUUGAGACUCCGGCGGAAUGGUUUUACAGCGUUUGUAAGCGCACUUCGGGCCAAUGACUACACCUGGCUGGCAGAAAAACUUGAUCCCGAACCAUUUACCACCACUAAAGCAGAAGAACCACCGACUCGACGAAGAAUUAGUGGACUCUUAAAAAGAUCCCGGAGUCGAAACAGUGAAUCAUCCCGACUGAGUGGGGAGACCGUAUUCACGACGUACCGACAAAGCUUUCCCAUGGAUUUAUCCGCCUCUUCUCGCAGUUUAAACCAAUGUCACACCACUCUGACCAAAUCCUUUGACAGUCUGAACCUACAAGGAGACCGAGAAAGUAUGGCGUCAUCAUCAUCAUCCUCCAAGAGAAAAAACUCUAUCGCAUCCGCCCUACUUCUCAACGUCCCAGCAGAAGCAUCGAGUCUCCCGGAUGCUGAAAUUGUCUCCAAAAUCGCAGCAGAGUUUAACUUCUUCUCCCUCCCGGAGUCUUUAGCCAGUUUGAAACGAAUCAACAUUGCCAGCAAGUCCCCACAGAGUAAGAAGAAGCUCAAGAAGAAGGAGAAACUCGCUGCUGCCCAUUUAACUGGUGGCUGUAAGAGUGUAAACCUAAAAAUAAAAUUCAAAACGAAGGAUGCCCGAGACCGAUUUGUGGCCGGGGUCAACUCCUCCUCCAUCUUUUCUGAUCUGGGGGGAAUUAAAGGAGUUCCACUGGAUUCGAAGAAGGGCGACAAAGCAAAUUCCACCACCACCACCGGAGGAUCAUGGUUUAGCAAACUUUUAAAAAGAUGAUAACACAUACGACGUGUCCUUUCCCCCAUUUUUUGCUGAUUUAAAUUGUGACGGAAAUACAUACUGGCAUUUUUCUUCCAUUGAUCCCGCUUCAAAAGUCUGCGUGAAAAAUAAGAAAUGACGAAGGAUAACCUCGUCUGAACAGACUCGGUUCUGUUCUGUCAGUAGUUACGUUUCGCUACGUGGUCGGGUGCAAAGUUGUUCUCCAUUUGGCCGCCGUCUGUUGAGUUGAGGGACAGCAGAAUAAAGUACCUACUGGAAGAUUAUUAUACCGAAGAGAUGGAGAAUUAUUCCCACUAAAAUGAACCUCCCUGCUGAAUUCGAAAUCAUUAUUGCCCUUAUUUAUUACUUAUGUAUGUGCCUGGGUUCCUUGGAAUUUGCAAUUUGUAUGUCCUCCCACAGAAUUUGGGGAAGGAGGCAAAUUUCCGAUCUGAUCUGAUCGGACGCUUGUUGGAAAUCUGGGAAGGAAGAAGACAAAACAAGGGUUGGAUUUGUGUAUACAGAGAAAAAGAGAGGACAAGGAUAAGACGAUGAUGAUGGGAUGGAUGACCAAGAUCAAAUUGAAAUUCAGGCUGCGACCCUGUGAUUUACCUCUUUAUAUAAUGGCUGGGUAUGCCAUGGGCAAUGAUGACAAAUACAUAAAUAAGACAAAGGAGGCAUGGAAUGGAGCUCUGGAAAGUUGAUGAGGAAGGAUGAAGCUUGUUUAUAUCUUUUUUAGGCGAAUUUUACGAUAUAUUUUAAGAUCAAUGUAUAAAAUACUUUAUGAAAUAAAUGAAAUUAAAGCUAAAUGAGAAAAUAAUAAAUAUUGGAUAAAAGUUCUCUAUGA
Molecule: RNA transcript, 2653 nt
Organism: Folsomia candida
Lineage: Eukaryota; Metazoa; Arthropoda; Collembola; Entomobryomorpha; Isotomidae
Exons: 5
Source: RefSeq, a predicted model, not a curated record